UUCUGGCAUCGAUGAAGAACGCAGCGAAAUGCGAUACGUAGUGUGAAUUGCAGAAUUCAGUGAAUCAUCGAAUCUUUGAACGCACAUUGCGCCCUUUGGUAUUCCAAAGGGCAUGCCUGUUCGAGCGUCAUUUGUACCCUCAAGCUUUGCUUGGUGU
This 157-nucleotide ribosomal RNA is filed under the name Curvularia australiensis. RNAcentral describes it as "5.8S ribosomal RNA". The stretch from base 1 to 130 matches the Rfam family "5.8S ribosomal RNA", at positions 25 to 154 of the family's 154-position model. Rfam says of the family: 5.8S ribosomal RNA (5.8S rRNA) is a component of the large subunit of the eukaryotic ribosome. It is transcribed by RNA polymerase I as part of the 45S precursor that also contains 18S and 28S rRNA. The record is from RNAcentral. Lineage: Eukaryota; Fungi; Ascomycota; Dothideomycetes; Pleosporales; Pleosporaceae.